This 474-nucleotide ribosomal RNA is filed under the name uncultured bacterium. RNAcentral's name for it is "bacterial SSU rRNA". It matches the Rfam family "Bacterial small subunit ribosomal RNA", at positions 28 to 524 of the family's 1533-position model. The record is from RNAcentral.
GAUGAACGUUGGCGGUGUGCCUAAUACAUGCAAGUCGAACGAAGUUGAUAGCAAUAUUAGCUUAGUGGCGAACGGUGAGUAACGCGUUGGUGAUCUGCCUUGAAGUGUGGAAUAACGUUUCGAAAGGAACGCUAAUACCGCAUGUGCUCUCGAUUUUCAGAAAGUUGAGAGUAAAGGAUUUAUUCGCUUCAAGAGGAGCCUGCGUCCAUCAGCUGGUUGGUAGGGUAACGGCCUACCAAGGCUAUGACGGGUAGGGGACCUGAGAGGGUGGCCCCCCACAAUGGAACUGAAACACGGUCCAUACACCUACGGGUGGCAGCAGUAGGGAAUAUUAGAAAUGGACGAAAGUCUGAUCUAGCAACACCGCGUGUGCGAAGAAGGCCUUCGGGUCGUAAAGCACUUUUUGGAAGGAAUAGGAAGGAAUGUACUUCCAGAAUAAGUCUCGGCUAACUACGUGCCAGCAGCCGCGGUAAU